UACGUAGGGCGCAAGCGUUGUCCGGAAUUAUUGGGCGUAAAGAGCUCGUAGGCGGCUUGUCACGUCGGGUGUGAAAGCCCGGGGCUUAACCCCGGGUCUGCAUUCGAUACGGGCUGGCUAGAGUGUGGUAGGGGAGAUCGGAAUUCCUGGUGUAGCGGUGAAAUGCGCAGAUAUCAGGAGGAACACCGGUGGCGAAGGCGGUGGUCUGGGCCGGCACUGACGCUGAGGAGCGAAAGCGUGGGGAGCGAACAGG
RNAcentral lists this ribosomal RNA (253 nucleotides) under uncultured bacterium. RNAcentral's name for it is "partial 16S ribosomal RNA". It matches the Rfam family "Bacterial small subunit ribosomal RNA", at positions 524 to 776 of the family's 1533-position model. The record is from RNAcentral.